This is a long non-coding RNA of Onychostoma macrolepis, 705 nucleotides long. RefSeq lists it as uncharacterized. The transcript has 4 exons. NCBI's taxonomy places the organism in Eukaryota, Metazoa, Chordata, Actinopteri, Cypriniformes, Cyprinidae. The record is from RefSeq and is a predicted model, not a curated record.
CAAACCUAAGGACUGAAAGAGAGAGAGAGGUUAAGACGUAUACGGAACAGAAGAACAACUGAGGUCUGAUGAAAGAGAUCCUUCAUAAUCAUAGUAAUUUUGGAAAAGUACCAUGAAUACCAUGGUACUUUCUGAAGUACCAUGUAAAUACCAUGGCCGCAAUCCAGAGGAAUCUGUUCAAACGGUUCAAAACUGACCUGCUCCUCAUCUGAGCUGUGAUUUACACCGCUGUUGUGUCCGUGUCUCUGAGCGAGAGGACUGACAGUGGCCAUUACUGAACCCUAAACGAGCACACGCUGUCCCACCACACCGCAACUCCAGUGGAGAGAAGCCAGCUGAUUACAGACCAGUUGCCAUUUGUCUCUGGAAAAAAGCUGGGAAACUCUCAAUAGUUCCAGGAAAACUCUUUACAUUCUCACCAGAGGAGGGGUGUGGGGUCUAUCCCACCAUCACCCACCCUGCUUUCAUCACAUCCAGCCCCCUCAGAGGAGUCCAGAUCAGGCAGAACCAGGUCCUCAGGAGCGGAGCGUGUUAUCCGUGUAAAUAUGUCAGCUAAAAAACCCUGACACAGAUUCAGCGCCACCAUUUCCAAAGUCCCUCCCCUAUGCUGUGAUUGGCUGUCGCAGGCGGCUCAGGUGUGCUUUCAUUGGCUCGGUUUAACGUAAGGCUCCAGGUGAAAUAGCAGAGCUCCAGUCAUGCAUAAAG